CACGUAGGCGGCUUUUUAAGUCAGGGGUGAAAUCCUGGAGCUCAACUCCAGAACUGCCUUUGAUACUGAGAAGCUUGAGUUCGGGAGAGGUGAGUGGAACUGCGAGUGUAGAGGUGAAAUUCGUAGAUAUUCGCAAGAACACCAGUGGCGAAGGCGGCUCACUGGCCCGAUACUGACGCUGAGGUGCGAAAGCGUGGGGAGCAAACA
Molecule: ribosomal RNA, 207 nt
Filed under: uncultured bacterium
Lineage: Bacteria
Description: partial 16S ribosomal RNA
Rfam family: Bacterial small subunit ribosomal RNA
Source: RNAcentral